UGAGUGAAGAAGGCCUUCGGGUUGUAAAGCUCUUUUGUCAGGGAAGAAACGGCUCAGGCUAAUAUCCUGGGCUAAUGACGGUACCUGAAGAAUAAGCACCGGCUAACUACGUGCCAGCAGCCGCGGUAAUACGUAGGGUGCAAGCGUUAAUCGGAAUUACUGGGCGUGAAGCGUGCGCAGGCGGUUUUGUAAGUCUGUCGUGAAAGCCCCGGGCUUAACCUGGGAAUUGCGAUGGAGACUGCAAGGCUUGAAUCUGGCAGAGGGGGGUAGAAUUCCACGUGUAGCAGUGAAAUGCGUAGAGAUGUGGAGGAACACCGAUGGCGAAGGCAGCCCCCUGGGUCAAGAUUGACGCUCAUGCACGAAAGCGUGGGGAGCAAACAGGAUUAGAUACCCUGGUAGUCCACGCCGUAAACGA
This 415-nucleotide ribosomal RNA is filed under the name uncultured bacterium. RNAcentral's name for it is "bacterial SSU rRNA". It matches the Rfam family "Bacterial small subunit ribosomal RNA", at positions 402 to 809 of the family's 1533-position model. The record is from RNAcentral.